RNAcentral lists this unclassified non-coding RNA (206 nucleotides) under uncultured Trechispora. RNAcentral's name for it is "sequence contains ITS2". Lineage: Eukaryota; Fungi; Basidiomycota; Agaricomycetes; Polyporales; Polyporaceae. The record is from RNAcentral.
AGUCAUCAAUCCCUCCCGUUUUGCGACGGGUUGGGUUUGGAUGUUGGGGGCUCUGCUGCUGUGAAGCGGCUCCCCUUAAAUGCAUCGGUUGGGCCUGUGGGUCAAACUCGACUGGGUGUUGUACCAUCCUCGCUCGACAGAGAUUGUGCCCCUCUUGCGCCCUUCCCCGACCUGCCCCUCUGAGUGGGCGGUCAAAGUUUUGAAAU